RNAcentral lists this non-coding RNA (24 nucleotides) under Arabidopsis thaliana (thale cress). The record is from RNAcentral. Lineage: Eukaryota; Viridiplantae; Streptophyta; Magnoliopsida; Brassicales; Brassicaceae.
AAAGAAGUUAGAUUUCUUUUAAAU